CUACACCAAUGCCCUGGAGAAAAUACCCACAGUUGCUUCUGCUAAGCCAAGGAUCCCCCUGCUCUGGGCAUGCACAGGGGACAGCUCUGCACCUGGUCUGAGCCAUGGCACAAAGAUGAACCAGGACACUGGGACACAAGUGCCCAAUUGCUCUGAGCCAGGACUCUGAUUUUAAGCAUUGACCUUCUACUGAGAUGCCCUUAAAAAUCUGUCUUGAUCAUGCUGGAAAGUAACAACACUGCAUUUCUGAGGAGUUUUUUCUCCACUGAACUAUGGAAGUGCCCAUGUGUGCUCUGUUAAAUCCUAGACAAGGCUGUGUCUUGGAGCAGAGAUGCUCAGAUAAAAUGAGGAUCAUGGUGUUCCCUUCUGGUGUCUGCACAGCUGAGGACAGCUGGCACAGCCACCUCAGGUUUGCUCAGUGAGGGCAAGGGAUGUCCUGAGCUCUCCCUUUCCCUUGGUUCAACAGAGCCAGCACAAUGGGAGAAAAGGCAGGUUCUGCUCAAUGGAGAUAUCUCUGUUUCACCACUGCUUCCUCCUCUGGAAGAAAAAUGAUUCCUCCAGGUCUUGACAUCUGCUGCUAUUUAAAGGAUCAUCAUCAUCACCACUCCAGCCCUCCUGGGGCCUCAAGGCUCUCAGCAAAAAACCUUUCAAUUGCCAGGGCAAUAAAAGAUGUCAGGGGUGAUUAAAGAUGUGGAAGCUGGUGCUCUGCAUCUCCAUGCAGCCAAGUCCUUCAGAUUUUCCUCACUCCCACUGGGACAGAAUUUUCCAACAUUGAGUACCAGUCUCCAGCACACCCUGAGCAAGAAGAGGGUGUUGAGCACCCAGCUGGAAUCAGUCACAUCUCUCUGAGCUCCCUAUUCCCAUCCAUCUGACCACAUCCAUCCCUGCAGUGCUGGGUGUCCUGUCCCUGGGCUGAGCUGGGAGCGUGUGGUCCUUGCACACUGCCUGGAGUAUUGCUUACAUAUGGUAUGUUUUCCAUGCAAAAUGGGUUUUUAAGAAAUAAGGGUUUUUAAAAUGGACUAAAAAAUUUUUACCGGGGCAUCUGGUAUUGGAAAUAUUUGAAAACAUUGAAAUUUUUUCUUUCUUGGCAGUAAAAACAACCCAGCUUCUUUCCCACUGCAGUCCAAGAACUAUUGAAUAUGUUUUAAAACAGAUCGUUUGGGGGGUUUAUAUAACUUUUUAUGGUUCUGAACAGAAGACACUUUUCUCUUUAGAACUGGUUCAGAAUCCUAAAUUAUAGUUGUUGAUUUCUUGGCUUAUGGGGAGCUACAUGAUUUACACCAGUUAAGAAUAUCAGAAAGCUUCAAGAAACCUUUGAAAGCGCAAACCAGAGGAAGAUGAGCUUUUGUUUUCCUUCCCAGAUAUUCAUAUCCUUGUUGCAGACUAUGCCUGGAUUCACUCCAUUGCUGUUGUGAACCGUGAGACUUUAUCCCAUCCCCAUUCCCCAGGUAGCUGGAGUCAAGCACUGCAGGGGGCAACUUGAAGGUUCCCCGAGAAAUUUGAAGGGAUCUGAGGGAAUCCAACCCCUGGGAUGGGGUGAACCCAGAUGCUGCAGCUGCUUCAAGUUUUUCCAGUUAUUUUUUCCUGAGAAUGACUAUUAAGGUCACAAGAUCUGGGGGUUUUCGUGUGUGGUUUUCUGACCUGCUGAAUCAUUAUAUUUUUUAUUAUUUUUUUCUCAUGCCCAUU
RNAcentral lists this long non-coding RNA (1686 nucleotides) under Parus major (Great Tit). RNAcentral's name for it is "lncRNA (ENSPMJG00000009761.1)". Lineage: Eukaryota; Metazoa; Chordata; Aves; Passeriformes; Paridae. The record is from RNAcentral.